UGACCUCAAAUCGAGUAAGACUACCCGCUGAACUUAA
RNAcentral lists this ribosomal RNA (37 nucleotides) under uncultured Sebacina. Its description in RNAcentral is "partial 28S ribosomal RNA". The record is from RNAcentral. Lineage: Eukaryota; Fungi; Basidiomycota; Agaricomycetes; Sebacinales; Sebacinaceae.